AAACAGGCGUGGACCUACGAGCAAUAUGUGGUUUAUGAGUAAGGAUGGGAGAAUGAACUCUGCGUAGCACUUAUGACCCAGACAUUUCUGGCCUUUGAAAAAGGCACAGUGAGGGCUUCUCGUUGAGCGGAGGAACUGGGACCGAAGUAUCUAGGUUUAUUUCCCCUAUUACUUUUUCCGCUCCGCGAACCACGCUGUCUUUGACCUUGUUCCAUUAUAACAAGCGAGAAGAGAAUAACCAAAAUUAAGGAUAUUAUUAAAGUCACGAGACUAAUAUCUUACUAUAAAAUUGGCACGGGUCGGCUAAUGCCUAUUUCUUUCCCUCAAGGUAUUCAACACAGUUGAAAGAAAAAAAGGGACUUAUGACCCAGAGUAGACGGUAUGAUGAUCAAACUCCAUUUUAUUAAGAGAGAGAGAGACUUUACAAUCUUUAAUCUUGUGACGUCAGACUUAACGGCGUUGCUACGGGAGGAUAAAUACCUGUUCGUAAUUCUUGACAGGAGAUCACGACUUCUUGUUCGACAAAAUAUGGUUCAUUAGUUCUUUCAAUUUUAGUUUUUAGUCAAUAGGAAACCGAGAUAUGAAUAAACACAGUUAUUAUCAGUGGCAUUAGAGAUCGGCAGCUUCGUUCCCUCUCUGCGACGGGAAACCUUUCUACUCGGAUGAAGAUUUCGUCGAUUUCUUUUGGGACAAGAUUCUAAUUGACUUCACUUUUGGUAUGAGGAUCUUCAUCGUUGAGAGCAAAUCUUUCGAUUUCUUUGCUUUCAGAAUAUUUUUUCAGUGUUUUUAUAGCAAAGGUCCGUAUAUUCCCAUCCGUUGUGCGGAUACCGAAUUUCCUUCGGUUAGAUUAAUGACUAAUCGAGAAGGUGAUCUAACGUGUCGAUGUUCUGCGUCGAUCUACCUUCUUUUUUCCUUUUUUGGGAAUUGAUGAAAGAUUUAGAUAAGUGUUGCUUCCUUCGACGGAAACGAAGUUUAUCUUCGAAAUCUUUUGACGGG
This 996-nucleotide long non-coding RNA is filed under the name Androctonus crassicauda. Lineage: Eukaryota; Metazoa; Arthropoda; Arachnida; Scorpiones; Buthidae. The record is from RNAcentral.